UAACACGUGAGUGACCUGCCUUUUAGACUGGAACAACUUACCGAAAGGUGAGCUAAUGCCGGAUGAGUUAUAUAAGUGCAUGUUUAUAUAGGAAAAGUUGGGGAGACCUGACGCUGAAAGAUGGACUCGCGUCCCAUUAGCUAGUUGGUAGGGUAAUGGCCUACCAAGGCGACGAUGGGUAGCCGGCCUGAGAGGGUGGCCGGCCACACUGGGACUGAGACACGGCCCAGACUCCUACGGGAGGCAGCAG
Molecule: ribosomal RNA, 250 nt
Filed under: uncultured bacterium
Lineage: Bacteria
Description: partial 16S ribosomal RNA
Rfam family: Bacterial small subunit ribosomal RNA
Source: RNAcentral